Molecule: microRNA precursor, 133 nt
Filed under: Prunus dulcis (almond)
Lineage: Eukaryota; Viridiplantae; Streptophyta; Magnoliopsida; Rosales; Rosaceae
Description: sRNA ncRNA
Source: RNAcentral
GGGAUUUAGGGGAAAGGAUGGGAGGGAUGAGUAAUAAAAGUGAAAAUUAAAACUAAAAAUUGAGAUCUAUUUGAAUUUUUUUUUUCUUUUCACUUUUAUUACUCCUCCCCUCCAAUCUCCCCUCUCAUCCUCU